AUGGCCGACCCGCAGGCCAAAGCGCGAGGCCCACCGGAGCCCCGGGCGGAGGCCCUGGUGGAGCCCGUGCGGGUCAAUGACUCUGCGGCGGAGGCCACGCUCUCCAGCGCCGAGCUGGCGUGGCGCACCACCGGCGCCGGCCGCGACAGCGGUGGAAGGCGGAAGCUGGAGCUGGAGUCCGACGUGCUCGGGUUCCAGGUGGAGGGCAGGGCCCUCAAACUCGUGACCUUUACGAGGGGGGACGUGACGGGCGCGGGGAGGCCGCCGUCUCCGGUGGGCUGCGGCGGAGGAGCAGAGGACAGGAAGAGAGGGGAGGUGGCGGUGGAGAUGGAGAGCGAGGAGGCCGCGGAGAGGUGGGGGCACGCCAUCAGAGAUCGCUUCGCCUCGCUUGGUCGGCCGAAGAGACUGUUCUUCAUAGUGAACCCUUACGGUGGGAAGAGAGGUGGACGGAAGAUUUUCCAAACUGAAGUUCUGCCUCUUAUUGAAGCUGCUGGCAUCCAUUACACCAUGCAAGAAACCAAUUACCGUCUUCAUGCUCAAGAAAUUGCUGGUUCACUGGAUCUUAGGAAAUAUGAUGGGAUCAUUUGUGUUAGUGGAGAUGGUAUCCUUGUAGAGGUUGUUAAUGGUCUGCUCCAAAGAGAUGAUUGGGACAAAGCAAUAAAAGUGCCACUAGGGAUCAUUCCAGCAGGUACUGGAAAUGGAAUGGUGCAAGGUCUAUUGCAUUCUGCUGGUGAACCCUUCUCAAUGUCAAAUGCUGUGUUUGCAAUCAUCAGAGGUCACAGACGUGCCCUCGAUGUCACUUCUGUUGUGCAGGGAAAGACAAGGUUUUUCAGUGUCAUGAUGCUUACAUGGGGUUUGGUAGCUGAUAUUGAUAUUGAGUCAGAAAAGUUUAGGUGGAUGGGAAGCGCUCGCAUCGACUUCUAUUCCCUUCUACGUGCGGUGAACUUGCGACGGUACAAUGGGCGUAUUCUUUUUGUUCCUGCCCCAGGAUAUGAAGGAUUUGGUGAUCCUGUGGAGCAAACUAUCAGCUGUAAAUCAAAUGGGGCUGCCAAUGCCGCCGAAGGAGACAUAACAGAUGUUUGCAAUAAUGAAACAUGUACCUAUUCAGGUCCUUCAACUGACGAUGCUGAUCUUGAAUGGAGAUCACUGAAGGGUCCGUUUGUUAACGUUUGGAUCAGCAACAUUGCUUUUGCUAGUGAAGGUGUCAUGAUAGCACCACAAGCACAGUUUGCAGAUGGCUACUUGGACGCAGCUAUAAUCAAGGAUUGCCCAUGGUCUGUUGCUCUCGGACUCUUGCUUCGGAUGAAGGAUGGUAGCUACAUCGAAUCGCCCUACGUGGAGUACUUCAAGGUGAAGGCUCUCCGGAUCGAGCCGGGCCUGCGCGUCGGCAGCAGCACCAUAGGCGGCAUCAUCGACUCCGAUGGAGAGGUCCUCGCGAGAGGCGACAGGUCCCAAACCAAGGAAGAGCCGGAGCAUCUAAUGGCGUAUGGCCCCCCUAUCCAACUAACGGUGGACCAGGGGCUGGCCACCAUCUUCUCCCCAAGAUGA
RNAcentral lists this ribosomal RNA (1548 nucleotides) under Triticum aestivum (bread wheat). Its description in RNAcentral is "partial small subunit ribosomal RNA". Lineage: Eukaryota; Viridiplantae; Streptophyta; Magnoliopsida; Poales; Poaceae. The record is from RNAcentral.